UGGAAUCCAACAAAUUCUCAUUAACAAAUAAAAUAUCUAACCAUCAAUCGGUAGACUCAAAUCAUCCAUUGGAUUAUUCUAAAAAAUUAUCCACCUAUGCUAUUAUGAAAACUCAAAUCAUCACAACCAUUGGAUUUAUUAUAUUUUCUAAAAAAUUACCUACCUACGCUAUUAUGAAAAUAGCCUAAAGUAACCUCUAAAUCUAUAUUUGAAUUACCC
RNAcentral lists this long non-coding RNA (219 nucleotides) under Setaria viridis. Its description in RNAcentral is "long non-coding RNA (SVIR_LNC003050)". Lineage: Eukaryota; Viridiplantae; Streptophyta; Magnoliopsida; Poales; Poaceae. The record is from RNAcentral.